RNAcentral lists this ribosomal RNA (432 nucleotides) under uncultured bacterium. Its description in RNAcentral is "partial 16S ribosomal RNA". It matches the Rfam family "Bacterial small subunit ribosomal RNA", at positions 29 to 507 of the family's 1533-position model. The record is from RNAcentral.
ACGAACGCUGGCGGCAGGCCUAACACAUGCAAGUCGAGCGCACCCUUCGGGGUGAGCGGCGGACGGGUGAGUAACGCGUGGGAACGUGCCCUUCUCUGCGGAAUAGCCUCGGGAAACUGAGAGUAAUACCGCAUACGCCCUUUGGGGGAAAGAUUUAUCGGAGAAGGAUCGGCCCGCGUUGGAUUAGGUAGUUGGUGGGGUAAUGGCCCACCAAGCCGACGAUCCAUAGCUGGUUUGAGAGGAUGAUCAGCCACACUGGGACUGAGACACGGCCCAGACUCCUACGGGAGGCAGCAGUGGGGAAUCUUAGACAAUGGGGGCAACCCUGAUCUAGCCAUGCCGCGUGAGUGAUGAAGGCCUUAGGGUUGUAAAGCUCUUUCAGCUGGGUAGAUAAUGACGGUACCAGCAGAAGAAGCCCCGGCUAACUCCGUG